RNAcentral lists this unclassified non-coding RNA (335 nucleotides) under fungal sp. Its description in RNAcentral is "partial internal transcribed spacer region". The stretch from base 1 to 46 matches the Rfam family "Eukaryotic small subunit ribosomal RNA", at positions 1786 to 1831 of the family's 1831-position model. Lineage: Eukaryota; Fungi. The record is from RNAcentral.
AAGUCGUAACAAGGUUUCCGUAGGUGAACCUGCGGAAGGAUCAUUAUUGAAAUAAACUUGGUUUAGAUUGUUGCUGGCUCUGUCGAGUAUGUGCACGUCUAUUCCAUUUUUUAAAAACCCCCUAUGCACUUUGUGUAGACCUGAAUACUCUUCAAGAGAUAUAUAAUCUUGAGAUCUGAGGCUUGCCGUGUAUCGAAACACAGCUCUCCUUGCACGUUCUAGUGUCUAUGUCUCUACUAUUAUACCCUUUAUUAAAACAUAUUGGAAUGCUCCAUAUAGGCCUUUGUGCCUUCUAAAAUAAAAUACAACUUUCAACAACGGAUCUCUUGGCUCUC